GCAUUAUAAUAUAGGAAAAAUAAUUAAUUUUUUGCGAAAAUAAAAUUUAAUAUAGGUUUAGAAACAUGUUGAUGCAUUCAUGCCGCAGUACUUAUUUUUGUGAUGUGUGAAAUUAUGCAAAAGAAAUUUUGUUCAAAAUUCAAUUUGUAAAUGCUUUUGAAAACAAGUUGGAAAAAAUAAUAAAAAAAGAAAUCCAUCUCUCUCCCUUCCCCCUCACUUUCGGCCUGCUUGGCCCAAUUCGAGCAGCACGCCAGCACCCUAACUCCCUCUCUCUCUCUCCCACUGACGAGUGGGGCCCACCUGUCGGCUCCUUCUCCCUCCCCCAACCGUUCCCUCCUUCUCUCACGCACAGGAAGCCGCAACCGGCGCCCCGCUCCCACGACGACGCACCCACGCCCACGUCUCUCGGUCUCUCGCGACUUAGAGUUGUUGCCGACCUCGCACCUCUCUCCCCCUCCUCUAUUUCCGCACUCGCAGCCGCAACCAAGCGUCUAGACAGUAAGAAAGACCACCGCUGAAGCACUGCAGACCAGCCACGCGACGUCCCGGUGAAUCAAGCCGCCUCUGCCUCCUUUCGCUGUGCCGGUGAGCUCGCCAACUCCUUCCCUCUCUCUCUGCCUUUCCUGUCCGGUUGGUAGCCGCUAGGGCCUUCUUCGCGAACUCCGGUGAGCACCAUGGCCGCCGGCUAUGGCGCAGACCACGCGAACUUCUCCCGGCUGCGUUGAGGGCUGAAGCACGCUCGCCUUCGCUCACUCUCCCUCCCCGGCUUUUUCCCAUGCGAAACCGUGGCCUCGGGAGUUCUCCCCGCGAGCUCCGACGGGUCGUUCAUGGCGCCACCGUGAACCUCCGCGGAAACCGCCUCCCCGACCGCGCUUAUAGUUGGGAACGGACUCGCAUCGCUCUCCUCUCUCCGAGUGCUUUUGGAAUCGAAAACCGUGCACCGUAGCUCCCCAUCGGCUCGACUCCAGCGAGCUUCGGGUGGCCGGCCAUGGUGGCCACCGUAUUCUUCCCCGAGGCGCCUGUGUGCCAUCCCCCUGCCUCUCUCUCUCUCUCUCUUUCUUUUUUUUAAUCCAGCGCGUUCAAGCUUGAUCCAACGACCAGAAUCACUUGAUACCCCUUCGUUUGACAUUUUGUUAAAGAGCCUCCCAGGAAUCCUGUUUUCGUGCGCGCAGUCCUCGGCCAGAGGAUUUUUCCAGGAUUUCAUUCAUUUAUUUAAUUUCAUUUAAACUCUGCUUUAAUUAUAGAAUUGCCACCGCAUUGUUUUAGCUAUAAAAUCGUCGUUUGAACUCUGAAUCGAUCCGUUCAAGUUGCGUUAGUUUCGUAAUUUCGUAAGCUUCGCGUUGGUACCACUGUUGUUUAGGUUUACCACUGUUAGAUUUCCUAGUUAAUUACAAGUCCGUAGAUUGCUGUUGAAAUCUCAUUAAAAGUGUAACUUUCGCGUCGUAAGUCCGUUUUUUGUGAAUUUUGCGUUGACGUGAUCGUAGCAGCACGUAGAUGAUUUUGGAAAACUUUUAUUUAAUUUAUUUACUGCUGGUGUACUAUUCUAACUAUAGAAUUUGUUCUCUUGCAUGUCUGUCUUGGUAUGCGUGAUGAUUGUGAUGUGUUGAUCGAGCCCAGACGGUGAGGAGUAUUUCGGGAGUCCGGAGCUGUUUGGGGACCAGCAGGACCAGCAAGACCAGCAUGAGUAUGUGAACUAAGGCAAGUAUAGCAUGGGCCUACCUUGUUGUCUUACUCAUUUUAAGCAUUUCACCAUGCAUGUGUAUAAUAUUACAAACUAUAAGGACAUCCUAGCUGUUGAUGACAAAUACCUUGUUUCCGAGGGUCUUUAUUGCAUAUGGGUAGAAGUGCUAGUGCUCUAACUCUAAUUAUAUAGGACCUGAAAUUAGUGAUGGAACCAUGGUUAAUUGAUUAAACAUGAUUAUGAUAAAUGGAACAUAGGGCUAUGGUACAAAUGACUGUUGGUCAUGUUGUCCUAGACCCUGCGUAAGGACUUAUCUGUCGGCAAAAGUUGGGACUUACAGUGCAACCGGGAGAGUCAUCUGGCUCUGACUUUAGUUCUGUAAUAGGAUCUCUUCUAACUUGUUAGAGGUUACUCGAAAGGGCGUAAGAGGGGCUUGCCACUUUGGGUGUAGUACUGCCCCUAUUUCUAUGAGUAUAGCCACGAUGGAAAUGUGCCAUAGAAAAGGGGGAUUUUCUACAUCUGUCUGCCGAGGAAACCUCGUGGCCCUAACUGGUUAGAAUAGGCCUAUGGAAGGCUUCAUAGUGUACCCUGCUCGCUCACCAUGGUAGUGUUUGGGGUCGACGGACCUCGGGCAUAUGGGCAACACGACUCACGGUGAAAGUGCACAACCUCUGCAGAGUGUAUAACUGUUAUAACAGUCGUGCUCACGGUCACAAGCGGCCCGGAAAACUCACAAAAUAACUGGUUACUGAUGGCUUUAAAGUACAUGGUGAUGUAUAAUUAUGCUUUAAUGUGACUUAAUGACUUACUAUGGUUCUGAUAACUGAUCAUAUGGGAUAUUUGGGAGCUUAAGCAUAAACUAAUAAUAAUUAAUGAUAAAAUACUGACCUACUAAAAUGCUGAUGCAGUAUUCCCGUUUUGUACAGAACUUGUGUUUUUUCACAUACUCUUUCUUAACUAGCAUAUGCCCGUACGUUGCUACGGAAGUAAAAUUUCAAUGUAACAAUAAUAUAAAAACUCUGUGCCAUCAAAAUAUAUAGACAAACAUACUAUUCUUAUCCACUUGCAAAUAAAAAAUCAUCAAUUUCUAAGAAAAAUCAUCAAUUUCUCAUAUGUAUUCCUCAAUAUGUACUUUUUUAAAAAAAUUUCUUGGCACGCAAAUUUAACAUCAAUUCAUCGAAACUAUUUUCUUUUAAAUUGGAAUGGGAACAUCUCAUCGUUCGAUGGGCAUAAGGCUAUAUGAAGUAGAAAAAAAUCUCUUUCGAACAUGUUCUAACAUAAUUUCUGUAUCUAUAGUAUUUUUUGGAACCCUGUAUAUAUAAAGUCUAUUUGUAAGAUCAAUGUUCCCAAGCAAUAUGACCAGCACAUAUGAUGGUACACCAUCUCAUUCUCAUAGAAACGACCUAUCAUCUUCGUAUAUUAAUCAUAUCAACCCAUUCGUUCUGCUCUGAUAAUAUAGCUUGAGCUAGAAAAAAAAUACCCCUCUUAUUUUCAUUUCUUUUUUUCUUUUCUAAUUUAUUCUCUUCUCUCUCCAUUUUUUCAUUCUCUCCCCAUUGUAUCCUCUCAACACAGCCUCUUUCCCAUUAAAAGUAUCAUUUUUGACUUUUUGUUCUUCUUAUUUGACCAUUCGUCUUAUUCAAAAUUUGUUAUAAAUAUUAUUUAUUUUUUAUGACUUGUUUAGUCAAUAACCAUGUUUUAUUUAUUUUACUAUUUGCAUAAAAAAUUGAAUAAGACGAACGAUCAAACAAUAAAACCUAAAAGUAAAAAACAACACUUUUAAUGGCACAGAGGGAAAAAACUAAUAAUUACUCAAACGUCCCAACAUGUUAGAGGUAUUUUCCUAAUACCAGUUUAAAAAAUAAAAGAAAUUAUGAGAGUUUCAUAUACAUUAAAUAAGCUGGCAUGACAUAAGAAUGAAGAGAGAGAUGAUAAAAAUUUUAGAGGAUGAAAUGAGUUUCAUGAGUAUGAAACUUAUUUACACUGCUUUGAACAUCUCAGAGUCUUGGAAACAGAAACAUAAAACUUCCACUGUGAUUGCUCUAAUAAAAUGCCUGAUAAAAAGCAUAAGGGUCCGAAACUCUGAACUCAUUUUGAGGCGAUUCUCCUAUUCUAUUUUUUUCGAGGGAAAUUCUUCUAUUCUAAUAAUAAGAAAGAAGAAAAAUAAUAGAGCUUAAGCUAUUUGGACCAACGCAACUUGGGCCAGCCUUACGAGAGGCAGCAAAUGGCCUAAACAUGUUUAAAAAAAAGUCCUAAACACCGAGCCCACAGCUUUGAAAAACCCUAGCCCAGCCCAUGACUUACUAAAACCCUAACCCCCAAGAAGGAACCACCAACGGAGGCAGCAGCCUCAUUCAUUACCUGCCCGGCGACGACUCUGUACCGAGUUGCUGACGGUGAGCGGCGCGGACGACGAGCAGGCAGCCCGCGGCGUGUCACGGGAGUUCUAGGUGAGUCUGUUAGGAGGUUAGAGCGCUCGCCGCUAUGGCGCUGCGCGAGGGGAAGUGCGCCAGGUGGUGCCGCCGCGCGGCGACGGGAAGAAGGGGAAGGGCGCCGAAUGCAUGAAUCUGUCAUAUGUGUCUCUCUACUUAUCCGCAUUGGUAGUAUUAGUCAGGUCUCCAAAAGGAGUGUGUGCACUGCUAUUUUUUUCUAUGUCCAUCAGGCAAAGAUCGACUACAAAGAAUCAAAGCAAAAAUGAUGAAGACAUUGUAUGUAGCCUGAGUAAAGGACACGCCAAGUUAUCAUGCCAAUCAAACAAAUCUCAGUUGUGUGCAUUUAAUUAAAUUUAAAUAUUGAGAACCAUGUACGAAAAGAAUAAAAAAUACAAAACCAUUUGUAUAAACAAAUCUCAACCACGUUCACAUUAUCAAUGUACAAAAUUUUGUCAACCCUAAAUAUAAUUUAAGCUUUGAGCAUUUAUUUGGUCUCAAGCAUUGUUCACCCAUUGUGAUUUCUAAUAAGCCUGCCAAACCUUUUUGAUCCAAGUUUGUCAAUCUCGUUGGAGGAUAGUGGACUGCAUCCAGUGGCUCAAGCACUACACAAAGAUGUCAAACUUUUGUUAGAUUUAACAUACAGUUAUAGAUAAAAAAUACUCCCUCCGUCUAAAAAAAAAGAAAUCCUAGCAUUUCACAACAACUAAUAAAAGAAGAGAACGUGGUUGAGAUGCACGUGUAGAUUGAAGUUAUCACUCCAUAUAUUAAAAACAGAGAACAGAGGAAUGAUAGCCUUUCUGAGUUUCUAAAUGAUUAAGACUGAAAUGCUAUCUAUGUAAACCUGUACCAUUUGUUGACGAAUUGUUUGAAGAUAAAAAUUGAACUCCUUUGUCACUGACAAUAGGAAAUAGGAAACCUUCACAGAUACAGAAUGAAAAAAACCUCCACUAAGUCAGAUAUUUGUUUAGGUGAGACAUUUCAUUGAACAGCAUGUGAGUGCACUUCUUGCCUCCGACAUUUAAUCAAAAAGCGUGCCCAAAAAUUUGUUUUCUCAUAACCGACUGAAACCCAAAGGAACCCAUUCCAUCUCAUCCUACACCAUUGAACUGCAUCACAAACCAGGAGUGUGUUCUGAUAUUGCCCAACAAUAUAGCAACUGUGACGCUGAGCACUUUAGCAGUGUGUUCUGGUAUUGCCCAACAAUAUAGCAACUGCAGGAACUGAAGACUAUUGAUUAAUUGGAUUCUUACCUUGUUAAACAGGUACCAUGUUCCCUGUUUGUUUCUUCAACCAGGCAGCAAUGAUAUAGUCCUUUUUGAGCAAUUUGGUGGUGACCCAAGCAAGAUAUCCUUUGUGAUAAGGCAGACACGAAGUGUGUGCGCACAAGUAUCAGAGGAACAUCCAGCCCAAAUUGAUAGUUGGAAUUCUUCUCAACAGACAAUGCAAAGAUAUAGACCUGAACUUCGCCUGGAAUGCCCAAAAGAUGGACAGGUCAUCAGCAGCAUCAAGUUUGCAAGCUUUGGGACACCGAGCGGCACGUGCGGAAGCUACAGCCAUGGAGAAUGCAGCAGCACUCAGGCUAUCUCAGUUGUUCAGGAGGUAACUAUAAGCUGCUCCAUUCUUAUGUCUCAAUGAACCAACUGAUUCUUAUGGGUUGCUAAUAGUGUUACUGGGAUUCUACAGGCUUGCAUUGGAGUGAGCAACUGCAGCGUGCCAGUGUCGUCGAAUUACUUUGGAAAUCCAUGGACAGGGGUCACAAAAAGCCUUGCGGUUGAAGCUGCAUGUUCGUGACAAGUCUGAUUAACAUUGGUUCAUAGGAAGCAAAAUCAGUGGGGAGAAUGUGAAACCUUCUCUAUGUAGGCAAGCAGGCAAAAAGGAAUAAAUGUUCCCAUCCUGGUCAAAAGGAAUAAAAAUAUUCCCAACAUUGCUAUAUCCAAGCUAUUAGAUGGUAUGAUUAGAAAGCAUAUUUCUUGUUAAGAUAUAAAUUCAUCCAUCAUGACAAAGAAGGUGAUCCUUUUGUAAUCCUUCUUGAAAAAAUAGAAUGGAUUGAAUUUCAAUCAAUUUGGGAAUACAGGGACGUCAACAGCACUAACUGUGUAUACAUACCUGAAAGUUAUCCGUGCAGAUGUGGAAUAGUGAUGCUUAAUCGGCCAACUGUGACAAGAGUUAAGGUUCAAUUCUCACAGGCGAAGCUAUAUAUUGUAGCCAGUUCUUCCUUCUUCUUCUUCUUCUUCUUCUUCCCCUCACAAAAAAUCUUUACAACUCUGUAAAUAAAUCGAAAGUAAACCAUCAGUUACUUUGGGUGCAUAAAGCUUUGUGAAACUUUUGUGAGAUAUAUCAUUACAAAAUUUAUUUUAGCAGUCCACUGAUAUGUCAUUCUAAUAUAUGGUAAUGGCAAAGUAAUAAUUGAGCCAAAUGGAGUCUAUCGUACAGCCAAUUGGAAGUUAUCGUAGAUCACUGAAAAAAUUCAAUACCAUGAGAAAGCAUUUUUGGAGUCUAUCUACUAUGACAGGUAGCUCUGAGAAAGGAAGACAACUCAAGAGUAAGUCAUGAAGAAGCACAACUGCACAAGUAACAAAAAGGUAGGUGCUCUUAUAUCAUCAGAAAGGGAUAGCAACUUCUAGCCGGUGAUACAAGGUGUAUUUAUACAGAAAACAAAAAGGCAAAGCCAAGUCUGCACUUUUAAGAUUAAUAGUGAAUUGAGUGUCAUUCUGUAUAAUUAAGCCUGUAUUUCUAAAAAUGCCAGAAAAGAAUGCAGCAAAGUUCAUAUAAGAUGACAUAAAUUGGACAUGGAACAUUGUACUUCUACCCAUGUUUGGCAAAACAUUUUUUUAGCACGAAUUACUACAGCAGUAUAGAGUUCCAGCAGUAUAAAAUUACCCUCUCUUUACUCCAAUUCCAGCAGCAGUAUAAAAUUAUUAUUAUUUUGCCAUGAAUCAUAUGACACAGAGAAGACAAACUGAACAACAAUAAGCAUGCCAACGCCAGGUUCUAAACCUCUUGAUAGGUUUCAUGCACACAAACAAAGGUCUACUUCUGAAUCUGUUUUCUUAACUGAGCAGGUUUUGAUGAAUAUAUCGUUUUGACCUGUGGAUUGUUGCCUAGAAAUUGCAGAACAUGGAUUUGGAGCUCUACCUAGCAUCAACAUUAUUGUGUGUACAAGUUUUGAACAAAUUUGUUGGCCGCCUGUUUCUAGCAAAGAGAAAAAACAAGAACAGUAAACAUCAAACAUGCGCUGGGCACUCCUAUCAAAUAAGGUAUGAGAGCAUCCGUCGAGCAGUUGCAUCGGGUAAAAAAUUGAAACAGGCCAGAGUCAAGGAGGGCUCAAACCUAGCGAGACGCUUCACUGACUUUGUUUGGUGGCCGUAGGUGCCGAUGGUUAGGGUUUGGCACUGGCGGACGACAGCCGCACGGCAAGGACGACAGCCGCACGGUGGAGACGAAGGAGCAGUUCAUGGUGGCGACGACGCAUCCGGUCGCAUCGAUGACGGCGCUGGUGCACGGCGAGGGCGAAUCUGUUCGUGGAGGCGGCGGCGUGUCUAGUGGGUGAAGGCCGAAGAUCUCAGUUCGCAGUUUGCCGCAGCACGGCCGCGGCUCCUCCCUGCCCAACACGGUCGCGGCUCUUCCCCGCCCAGCACGGCUGCGGCACAGGCGGCGCAGCCACGACCGCUCGCCGCCAAGCCCAGGACGAGCCGGACCCCGACGGCGGCGGCAGCGCUGCUGACCCCGAGGGCAGGGCCAGGGCGCGUGUGGUUGCUAAUGCGUCGGCGGCGCCUGGUCGCGUGGGUGACGGGGUGAGCGUGAGCCGGUGAAGGCCGAAGAUCUCAGUUCGCAGUUUGCCGCAGCACGGCCGCGGCUCCUCCCCGCCCAGCACGGCCGCGGCACAGGCGGCGCAGGCACGAUCGCUCGGCGCCAAGCCCAGGACGAGCCGUACCCCGACGACGGCGGCAGCGCUGCUGACCCCGAGAUGAGGAGGGGAUGGCGACGGAGCCGCUGAGCAGCAGUCGACAGCGCAGCCGCUGAGCGAGAUGGCGGAGGCUCGCACGGAGGCGGAGCAGGAUUUUUCGAGAGGGAGGGGAAGAAGGCUUGGCUGGUCAAAGACGAAUCGGAGGAGAUGUGAGGGCGUGGGGGUGAGAGCGGGAGGUGGCCUUGGGAGUAAAGUGAGAGCACGUUGAAGAGGGACUUUGGAGCGCUGUUGACGUCCCUGUAUUGGCUUUUUAGGGGUAGAGAUAGAGAUUGCGUGUUCUUAUUUAUUCUCUGUUUAUAAUCACUUCGAAGUAGCUUGCAUGGACAUGCUAUAACUUCUACCAAUCAACUCCUACAAAAUUGGCUAGAGAGAACAAUUAUUUCCGUGGCGGACAGGUUCAGUUACAGCCUGUAUAUUUCUUUCAUUUUAAUCUUUCCCUCUGCACUUCACAUAAUAGGAUGCUAUUUCUUUACUGCCAUAGGACAUGGUCGUGGGCACAUCAUGAUUCAUGAAACAUCCUUAGACCAGAGACUAUUGAAUCACUUAUGUAUUUGUAGCGCCUAACCGGUAAUAAAACAUACGAGAUUGGGUUUGGGACAUAUUCCAAGCAUUUGAGAAGAAUUCCCGUAUAGAAUCUGGAUAUGUUGGUCUGAAAGAUGUAAGUUCUCGUCAUACCAACAUAGUUGCGAACUUGUCAACCUUCGAAAUGUUCUAAUAGUUAUUAUUUUUUUAUAAUUUUUUUUGAGUAUUUAGGUGAAUACUGGUACAAAAGACGACAUGAUGCAGAGCUAUCUGUACCUGCUGUUCUCCCCAACAUCGUUUAUCUCGUUCGAUGAGUGGGUCUUCAACACUGAAGCCCACCCACUGAAAAUAGUUACAAGGCAUGACAGUGAAGGUGGCUCAGGCAGUGCAGAAAGUAAGGGUAUUGCUGACUCUGUAAUCCAGCCACAUCCCACAUGGAAGGAAGCAUGGAAAACCUGAGUAGAAGUUGUCCGGUGCAAAGUACAGGGCUUUUGAUUAUGCCAUCUGUGAAAGGAAAUCCAUCUUGAUGGCAGCUUGGAUUGAAAUGGCGAACGUCACACUACCGUAGCAUUAGGCCAGCCCCAUUUGAGUCUUGGGUAUUCCGUUUGGUGAGUCGUCACUUAGCUGUUGCCUCUAACCUAACCGAUGUGGGCCCUCGUCAGUUGCCAUGUAGGCAUAGCAUAGAGAUAGAGGUCGCGCCCGCGCUACAUGUCCCGCGCUGCCAGGAGCUUAGGACACUGGGAACCAGUAGUACCGCCACCACGUCAUGCCUCGUCGGAUAGGGUUAGAGAUUUAUGAAUGUGGAUUAUGGAAUUGUCUCCCACUCAUGCCUCGUUCACUCACAUGAAAAAAAUACUUUUAUUAUACAUGCUGUUAUGUACAUAUUUCGAUUUAUCUUGGAAAAGAGUUUAGAAACAAGAUAGGAUUUUGUGCUAAUAUUUGGUGGUAUGAGUCAAUAUGUAUGUGGUCUGAAGAUAAAUAAUUAGGUUCUCAUUUGCAGCAACAACAAAAUAAAAUAAAUUUCGGUAAUCGAGCUAACAUAGAAUCUGUGUGGAAAAAUGAAUACAAGAAUAGAUUAAAAAGAAUGAGAGAGAAAUUUUAUUUUCUAAAUAUAGAAAUGUUAAUAUAUUUGAUAUACAUAUAUAUAAAUAUACCUAUAUAUAUAUUUAGUGCAUAAAAAAAUUGGGUAUUCAUGAGAAUACCAGGAAUACCCUAUGUAUCCGCCUAUGCGCUACACCCUGUCGUACAGCCUUACUGUCUCUCAUGUUAAAGCGAGCGUUGCAGCAAAGGAUAGCCUCUGACACACACAACAACCACCAGGGCAACGAGAGGAAAAGCAGCAAGUUGAAAAAAGAAAGCUGCAAACUGCUGCCAUGGGACCAAACAAAAUACUCCGUAGCUUCUCGUUGCUUGCGUUGUGAGAUUGUUUGUCUUAUCUCUUUCUCGUCUACAUGGAAUACUACUUUUGGUUGAGGCUAACAGCACUAUUCACCUGUGUUGGUCAUGCCCUUAGGCAGGGACGAAGCCAGAAAAAAAAAGUUAGAAAAGGCUAAAUAAAAGUGCUUCAUCGACUUAGCUCUACUAUAACCCAUCAUAAAAAAAAUAUAAUAGCUUAAAGUAGUUUUAUAUUGAAAACAUCAAUCAGGGAUGAAACUCAUAAAAUAACUCAUAAAAAAUAAAGGUCUCAGUCCACUAUAACUUAUAUAUUUGUACUUAAAAUUAGAAGAAAAAUACUAGAAACUCCACUAGUACAGCAGCGGUAGGGGGGCUAGAGCCCCCCUAGCCCCACCGCUGGAUCCGUCGCUGCUCUUAGGGCACACUGCUGGAUGAAACUAGAGGCAGAAUGUGUUGGAUAGGAAUAUUUUUACAAUGGUUGGAGAAGCGAUGAGAACAAUUGAUGUGUCUAUAUCGGUGGGUCCAAAAUAUGAGAAGCGAUGAGAGACGAUGGGAGGCGAUAGAUGUGUCAUAUGCGUCAUGCCGCCAACCCUCGCUUCUCAACGCCUCUGAAAGUGAGGGGAUUAGGACCCCAAAUAGAUGAGCUGUAAUUCCUUUUUUAGUUCUUUUUUAAAAUAAAGGGUAAAAGGGUAAAUGCACAAUUGUAAAAGUAGUAUAGUUAGAUGAAUAACUGAAGUAAUAUAGUUUGAUGAGAUUCUACUAAUAUUUUAUUUCUAAGGCUUUUUUAAAGCUAGAUUCAUAUACGACAAGUAUUGAUAUCAUUUUUAUUUUUAGAUUUUUAAUUUAUUUCUAGAAAUUUAAAAGGAUUUAAGACGUAGUACUGUUGUGGUCUUUGGCUGACAGAACCCAUCUGCGUGCGUGCUGAUACAGGGUGGAUACAAAUCCCAAAUGCGUACGAAGUACCAAAUUCAUAAACGGUUUGAUGUUUUGAAACCAUUUUUACUUUUUAUUCAGAUUUAGAAUUCAAAAUAUAUACCGUAUUCAAAAUGCAGAAUUUAAUUUUCAUAUCCAGAAUUUAAAUUUCAUGUUUCAUAAUCAAAUCAAAUCAAAAUUUAGAAAUAUAUACGUACGUAUUGUAAAAGUGUCUUUGGCCAAUAGGGCCAGCCAAAUGGAGGCAAGCAACAUAAGAUGGAAUUAUAUAGACCAUUGUCUCCGUCUCUCCAAAGAGCCUAUUUCUUUGCAGCCCUGAAAUUAUUUUGGGUAUGGAAUCAUUUGAUAAAUUAUAUUGGGCUGGAAUUGUUUCAGGCCGGGACGCUUAACCGAACAGGUGAGCUGGGACUAAAAUUGAGAAGGCGCUGGGCCCUUGCAGCAUGCAGCAUGCGUUGACUGCUUGCUGCCUGCCAUGUUGAGCAGCCAUCGGGCCAAGUGGACUGCUGGCCCAAGCGUAGGGAGCGGACAGCGGAGGGAGGAGAAAGUAGCCCAAAAUAGGUUUUGUAUUUUUUGUGACAACUUUUGUAAUUUCAAAAUAUUACAACCUCAAAAAGAAUUUUGGGACAGAAAAUGAUUUCAAAUGGAAAAGUCAGAACCAACAAAGUUGUACAAAUCAUCGAGAUCUACAACUUUUAUUUUACUCAUUUUUCCAUGUGACUUUGUUCGAACAAUUCAAAAUUUGAACUUUAAAAUAUGAGAACUUCGAAUAAAUUUUUUGGAUAACAAAUGAUUUCAACUGAAAAAGUCACAAACAAUAAAGUUGCAGAAAUCGUCAAGAUCUACAACUUUGAAUUUGGUCAUUUCUCCAUCCAACAUCAUUUGAACAAAGUGGUAGUACACAUGUUCACAAUUGGAUACGUCUUCAUACUCUUCCCAUAUACUAUAUGAGAGAUAUAUCAAAUCAUGAACAAUGUGUGAUGUCACUUUGUUAAAAUCAUUUGUGUUUUUUUAUCUAACAAUUAUGUAACAAAACCAUGCAAAAAAUUAGAAUUUUUGACCAAAUUUAAAAGUAUUAUAAUUAUUUUAUGUUAAUUUAGGAAUAGAACGAUGAAUUAUUCCUCGCAAAAAUGUAGAAUUUCAAUUGAAAAUGUACUCAUGCAAAAUUGUAGACCCCAUCAAGAUCUACAACUUUGAUUUAGGUCCUUUCUCCAUAUGAGUUUAUUUGAAAAAUUCAAAAAUUUGAAAUUCUAAAUUCAAGAAUUUCAAACAGAACUUUUGAGCACUAAAUGACUUCAAAUGGAAAAGUCAACAACACAAAAGUUAUACAACUCAUCCAGAUCUAUAACUUUUACUUUGGUUAUUUCUCUACUUGAUUUUGUUUGAACAAUUUGAAAUUCGAACAUAAACUUUGAUGCUUUUACCCUGCAUACAGACUGUCGUGAAAAAAAGAAGUAACAGCGCUAAAUAUUGUUUAAUUAGAGAUUGUUCGAGUGGUAAGCUAACUAGGUUUUGGAGCAUGAGCUUGCAGGACCAAAUCCUUAUGCAUCACAUUUUUCACGCCAAUUUUGAUGAUUUUUUUCUCCUGCAUCACAUUUUUUACGCCAAUUUUGAUGGUUUUUUUCUCCUGCAUCACAUUUUCCUGUAACACCCAAAAUUUUACUCUUUAAAAUAGAGAAAUAUGAUUUAAUUAAAUAAUUUUUUGUGAGCAUUAUAAUAUAGGAAAAAUAAUUAAUUUUUUGCGAAAAUAAAAUUUAAUAUAGGUUUAGAAACAUGUUGAUGCAUUCAUGCCGCAGUACUUAUUUUUGUGAUGUGUGAAAUUAUGCAAAAGAAAUUUUGUUCAAAAUUCAAUUUGUAAAUGCUUUUGAAAACAAGUUGGAAAAAAUAAUAAAAAAAAGAAAUCCAUCUCUCUCCCUUCCCCCUCACUUUCGGCCUGCUUGGCCCAAUUCGAGCAGCACGCCAGCACCCUAACUCCCUCUCUCUCUCUCUCCCACUGACGAGUGGGGCCCACCUGUCGGCUCCUUCUCCCUCCCCCAACCGUUCCCUCCUUCUCUCACGCACAGGAAGCCGCAACCGGCGCCCCGCUCCCACGACGACGCACCCACGCCCACGUCUCUCGGUCUCUCGCGACUUAGAGUUGUUGCCGACCUCGCACCUCUCUCCCCCUCCUCUAUUUCCGCACUCGCAGCCGCAACCAAGCGUCUAGACAGUAAGAAAGACCACCGCUGAAGCACUGCAGACCAGCCGCGCGACGUCCCGGUGAAUCAAGCCGCCUCUGCCUCCUUUCGCUGUGCCGGUGAGCUCGCCAACUCCUUCCCUCUCUCUCUCUGCCUUUCCUGUCCAGUUGGUAGCCGCUAGGGCCUUCUCCGCGAACUCCGGUGAGCACCAUGUAAUCCAGCGCGUUCAAGCUUGAUCCAACGACCAGAAUCACUUGAUACCCCUUCGUUUGACAUUUUGUUAAAGAGCCUCCCAGGAAUCCUGUUUUCGUGCGCGCAGUCCUCGGCCAGAGGAUUUUUCCAGGAUUUCAUUCAUUUAUUUAAUUUCAUUUAAACUCUGCUUUAAUUAUAGAAUUGCCACCGCAUUGUUUUAGCUAUAAAAUCGUCGUUUGAACUCUGAAUCGAUCCGUUCAAGUUGCGUUAGUUUCGUAAUUUCGUAAGCUUCGCGUUGGUACCACUGUUGUUUAGGUUUACCACUGUUAGAUUUCCUAGUUAAUUACAAGUCCGUAGAUUGCUGUUGAAAUCUCAUUAAAAGUGUAACUUUCGCGUCGUAAGUCCGUUUUUUGUGAAUUUUGCGUUGACGUGAUCGUAGCAGCACGUAGAUGAUUUUGGAAAACUUUUAUUUAAUUUAUUUACUGCUGGUGUACUAUUCUAACUAUAGAAUUUGUUCUCUUGCAUGUCUGUCUUGGUAUGCGUGAUGAUUGUGAUGUGUUGAUCGAGCCCAGACGGUGAGGAGUAUUUCGGGAGUCCGGAGCUGUUUGGGGACCAGCAGGACCAGCAAGACCAGCAUGAGUACGUGAACUAAGGCAAGUAUAGCAUGGGCCUACCUUGUUGUCCUACUCAUUUUAAGCAUUUCACCAUGCAUGUGUAUAAUAUUACAAACUAUAAGGACAUCCUAGCUGUUGAUGACAAAUACCUUGUUUCCGAGGGUCUUUAUUGCAUAUGGGUAGAAGUGCUAGUGCUCUAACUCUAAUUAUAUAGGACCUGAAAUUAGUGAUGGAACCAUGGUUAAUUGAUUAAACAUGAUUAUGAUAAAUGGAACAUAGGGCUAUGGUACAAAUGACUGUUGGUCAUGUUGUCCUAGACCCUGCGUAAGGACUUAUCUGUCGGCAAAAGUUGGGACUUACAGUGCAACCGGGAGAGUCAUCUGGCUCUGACUUUAGUUCUGUAAUAGGAUCUCUUCUAACUUGUUAGAGGUUACUCGAAAGGGCGUAAGAGGGGCUUGCCACUUUGGGUGUAGUACUGCCCCUAUUUCUAUGAGUAUAGCCACGAUGGAAAUGUGCCAUAGAAAAGGGGGAUUUUCUACAUCUGUCUGCCGAGGAAACCUCGUGGCCCUAACUGGUUAGAAUAGGCCUAUGGAAGGCUUCAUAGUGUACCCUGCUCGCUCACCAUGGUAGUGUUUGGGGUCGACGGACCUCGGGCAUAUGGGCAACACGACUCACGGUGAAAGUGCACAACCUCUGCAGAGUGUAUAACUGUUAUAACAGUCGUGCUCACGGUCACAAGCGGCCCGGAAAACUCACAGAAUAACUGGUUACUGAUGGCUUUAAAGUACAUGGUGAUGUAUAAUUAUGCUUUAAUGUGACUUAAUGACUUACUAUGGUUCUGAUAACUGAUCAUAUGGGAUAUUUGGGAGCUUAAGCAUAAACUAAUAAUAAUUAAUGAUAAAAUACUGACCUACUAAAAUGCUGAUGCAGUAUUCCCGUUUUGUACAGAACUUGUGUUUUUUCACAUACUCUUUCUUAACUAGCAUAUGCCCGUACGUUGCUACGGAAGUAAAAUUUCAAUGUAACAAUAAUAUAAAAACUCUGUGCCAUCAAAAUAUAUAGACAAACGUACUAUUCUUAUCCACUUGCAAAUAAAAAAUCAUCAAUUUCUAAGAAAAAUCAUCAAUUUCUCAUAUGUAUUCCUCAAUAUGUACUUUUUUAAAAAAAUUUCUUGGCACGCAAAUUUAACAUCAAUUCAUCGAAACUAUUUUCUUUUAAAUUGGAAUGGGAACAUCUCAUCGUUCGAUGGGCAUAAGGCUAUAUGAAGUAGAAAAAAAUCUCUUUCGAACAUGUUCUAACAUAAUUUCUGUAUCUAUAGUAUUUUUUGGAACCCUGUAUAUAUAAAGUCUAUUUGUAAGAUCAAUGUUCCCAAGCAAUAUGACCAGCACAUAUGAUGGUACACCAUCUCAUUCUCAUAGAAACGACCUAUCAUCUUCGUAUAUUAAUCAUAUCAACCCAUUCGUUCUGCUCUGAUAAUAUAGCUUGAGCUAGAAAAAAAAUACCCCUCUUAUUUUCAUUUCUUUUUUUCUUUUCUAAUUUAUUCUCUUCUCUCUCCAUUUUUUCAUUCUCUCCCCAUUGUAUCCUCUCAACACAGCCUCUUUCCCAUUAAAAGUAUCAUUUUUGACUUUUUGUUCUUCUUAUUUGACCAUUCGUCUUAUUCAAAAUUUGUUAUAAAUAUUAUUUAUUUUUUAUGACUUGUUUAGUCAAUAACCAUGUUUUAUUUAUUUUACUAUUUGCAUAAAAAAUUGAAUAAGACGAACGAUCAAACAAUAAAACCUAAAAGUAAAAAACAACACUUUUAAUGGCACAGAGGGAAAAAACUAAUAAUUACUCAAACGUCCCAACAUGUUAGAGGUAUUUUCCUAAUACCAGUUUAAAAAAUAAAAGAAAUUAUGAGAGUUUCAUAUACAUUAAAUAAGCUGGCAUGACAUAAGAAUGAAGAGAGAGAUGAUAAAAAUUUUAGAGGAUGAAAUGAGUUUCAUGAGUAUGAAACUUAUUUACACUGCUUUGAACAUCUCAGAGUCUUGGAAACAGAAACAUAAAACUUCCACUGUGAUUGCUCUAAUAAAAUGCCUGAUAAAAAGCAUAAGGGUCCGAAACUCUGAACUCAUUUUGAGGCGAUUCUCCUAUUCUAUUUUUUUCGAGGGAAAUUCUUCUAUUCUAAUAAUAAGAAAGAAGAAAAAUAAUAGAGCUUAAGCUAUUUGGACCAACGCAACUUGGGCCAGCCUUACGAGAGGCAGCAAAUGGCCUAAACAUGUUUAAAAAAAAGUCCUAAACACCGAGCCCACAGCUUUGAAAAACCCUAGCCCAGCCCAUGACUUACUAAAACCCUAACCCCCAAGAAGGAACCACCAACGGAGGCAGCAGCCUCAUUCAUUACCUGCCCGGCGACGACUCUGUACCGAGUUGCUGACGGUGAGCGGCGCGGACGACGAGCAGGCAGCCCGCGGCGUGUCACGGGAGUUCUAGGUGAGUCUGUUAGGAGGUUAGAGCGCUCGCCGCUAUGGCGCUGCGCGAGGGGAAGUGCGCCAGGUGGUGCCGCCGCGCGGCGACGGGAAGAAGGGGAAGGGCGCCGAAUGCAUGAAUCUGUCAUAUGUGUCUCUCUACUUAUCCGCAUUGGUAGUAUUAGUCAGGUCUCCAAAAGGAGUGUGUGCACUGCUAUUUUUUUCUAUGUCCAUCAGGCAAAGAUCGACUACAAAGAAUCAAAGCAAAAAUGAUGAAGACAUUGUAUGUAGCCUGAGUAAAGGACACGCCAAGUUAUCAUGCCAAUCAAACAAAUCUCAGUUGUGUGCAUUUAAUUAAAUUUAAAUAUUGAGAACCAUGUACGAAAAGAAUAAAAAAUACAAAACCAUUUGUAUAAACAAAUCUCAACCACGUUCACAUUAUCAAUGUACAAAAUUUUGUCAACCCUAAAUAUAAUUUAAGCUUUGAGCAUUUAUUUGGUCUCAAGCAUUGUUCACCCAUUGUGAUUUCUAAUAAGCCUGCCAAACCUUUUUGAUCCAAGUUUGUCAAUCUCGUUGGAGGAUAGUGGACUGCAUCCAGUGGCUCAAGCACUACACAAAGAUGUCAAACUUUUGUUAGAUUUAACAUACAGUUAUAGAUAAAAAAUACUCCCUCCGUCUAAAAAAAAAGAAAUCCUAGCAUUUCACAACAACUAAUAAAAGAAGAGAACGUGGUUGAGAUGCACGUGUAGAUUGAAGUUAUCACUCCAUAUAUUAAAAACAGAGAACAGAGGAAUGAUAGCCUUUCUGAGUUUCUAAAUGAUUAAGACUGAAAUGCUAUCUAUGUAAACCUGUACCAUUUGUUGACGAAUUGUUUGAAGAUAAAAAUUGAACUCCUUUGUCACUGACAAUAGGAAAUAGGAAACCUUCACAGAUACAGAAUGAAAAAAACCUCCACUAAGUCAGAUAUUUGUUUAGGUGAGACAUUUCAUUGAACAGCAUGUGAGUGCACUUCUUGCCUCCGACAUUUAAUCAAAAAGCGUGCCCAAAAAUUUGUUUUCUCAUAACCGACUGAAACCCAAAGGAACCCAUUCCAUCUCAUCCUACACCAUUGAACUGCAUCACAAACCAGGAGUGUGUUCUGAUAUUGCCCAACAAUAUAGCAACUGUGACGCUGAGCACUUUAGCAGUGUGUUCUGGUAUUGCCCAACAAUAUAGCAACUGCAGGAACUGAAGACUAUUGAUUAAUUGGAUUCUUACCUUGUUAAACAGGUACCAUGUUCCCUGUUUGUUUCUUCAACCAGGCAGCAAUGAUAUAGUCCUUUUUGAGCAAUUUGGUGGUGACCCAAGCAAGAUAUCCUUUGUGAUAAGGCAGACACGAAGUGUGUGCGCACAAGUAUCAGAGGAACAUCCAGCCCAAAUUGAUAGUUGGAAUUCUUCUCAACAGACAAUGCAAAGAUAUAGACCUGAACUUCGCCUGGAAUGCCCAAAAGAUGGACAGGUCAUCAGCAGCAUCAAGUUUGCAAGCUUUGGGACACCGAGCGGCACGUGCGGAAGCUACAGCCAUGGAGAAUGCAGCAGCACUCAGGCUAUCUCAGUUGUUCAGGAGGUAACUAUAAGCUGCUCCAUUCUUAUGUCUCAAUGAACCAACUGAUUCUUAUGGGUUGCUAAUAGUGUUACUGGGAUUCUACAGGCUUGCAUUGGAGUGAGCAACUGCAGCGUGCCAGUGUCGUCGAAUUACUUUGGAAAUCCAUGGACAGGGGUCACAAAAAGCCUUGCGGUUGAAGCUGCAUGUUCGUGACAAGUCUGAUUAACAUUGGUUCAUAGGAAGCAAAAUCAGUGGGGAGAAUGUGAAACCUUCUCUAUGUAGGCAAGCAGGCAAAAAGGAAUAAAUGUUCCCAUCCUGGUCAAAAGGAAUAAAAAUAUUCCCAACAUUGCUAUAUCCAAGCUAUUAGAUGGUAUGAUUAGAAAGCAUAUUUCUUGUUAAGAUAUAAAUUCAUCCAUCAUGACAAAGAAGGUGAUCCUUUUGUAAUCCUUCUUGAAAAAAUAGAAUGGAUUGAAUUUCAAUCAAUUUGGGAAUACAGGGACGUCAACAGCACUAACUGUGUAUACAUACCUGAAAGUUAUCCGUGCAGAUGUGGAAUAGUGAUGCUUAAUCGGCCAACUGUGACAAGAGUUAAGGUUCAAUUCUCACAGGCGAAGCUAUAUAUUGUAGCCAGUUCUUCCUUCUUCUUCUUCUUCUUCUUCUUCUUCUUCCCCUCACAAAAAAUCUUUACAACUCUGUAAAUAAAUCGAAAGUAAACCAUCAGUUACUUUGGGUGCAUAAAGCUUUGUGAAACUUUUGUGAGAUAUAUCAUUACAAAAUUUAUUUUAGCAGUCCACUGAUAUGUCAUUCUAAUAUAUGGUAAUGGCAAAGUAAUAAUUGAGCCAAAUGGAGUCUAUCGUACAGCCAAUUGGAAGUUAUCGUAGAUCACUGAAAAAAUUCAAUACCAUGAGAAAGCAUUUUUGGAGUCUAUCUACUAUGACAGGUAGCUCUGAGAAAGGAAGACAACUCAAGAGUAAGUCAUGAAGAAGCACAACUGCACAAGUAACAAAAAGGUAGGUGCUCUUAUAUCAUCAGAAAGGGAUAGCAACUUCUAGCCGGUGAUACAAGGUGUAUUUAUACAGAAAACAAAAAGGCAAAGCCAAGUCUGCACUUUUAAGAUUAAUAGUGAAUUGAGUGUCAUUCUGUAUAAUUAAGCCUGUAUUUCUAAAAAUGCCAGAAAAGAAUGCAGCAAAGUUCAUAUAAGAUGACAUAAAUUGGACAUGGAACAUUGUACUUCUACCCAUGUUUGGCAAAACAUUUUUUUAGCACGAAUUACUACAGCAGUAUAGAGUUCCAGCAGUAUAAAAUUACCCUCUCUUUACUCCAAUUCCAGCAGCAGUAUAAAAUUAUUAUUAUUUUGCCAUGAAUCAUAUGACACAGAGAAGACAAACUGAACAACAAUAAGCAUGCCAACGCCAGGUUCUAAACCUCUUGAUAGGUUUCAUGCACACAAACAAAGGUCUACUUCUGAAUCUGUUUUCUUAACUGAGCAGGUUUUGAUGAAUAUAUCGUUUUGACCUGUGGAUUGUUGCCUAGAAAUUGCAGAACAUGGAUUUGGAGCUCUACCUAGCAUCAACAUUAUUGUGUGUACAAGUUUUGAACAAAUUUGUUGGCCGCCUGUUUCUAGCAAAGAGAAAAAACAAGAACAGUAAACAUCAAACAUGCGCUGGGCACUCCUAUCAAAUAAGGUAUGAGAGCAUCCGUCGAGCAGUUGCAUCGGGUAAAAAAUUGAAACAGGCCAGAGUCAAGGAGGGCUCAAACCUAGCGAGACGCUUCACUGACUUUGUUUGGUGGCCGUAGGUGCCGAUGGUUAGGGUUUGGCACUGGCGGACGACAGCCGCACGGCAAGGACGACAGCCGCACGGUGGAGACGAAGGAGCAGUUCAUGGUGGCGACGACGCAUCCGGUCGCAUCGAUGACGGCGCUGGUGCACGGCGAGGGCGAAUCUGUUCGUGGAGGCGGCGGCGUGUCUAGUGGGUGAAGGCCGAAGAUCUCAGUUCGCAGUUUGCCGCAGCACGGCCGCGGCUCCUCCCUGCCCAACACGGUCGCGGCUCUUCCCCGCCCAGCACGGCUGCGGCACAGGCGGCGCAGCCACGACCGCUCGCCGCCAAGCCCAGGACGAGCCGGACCCCGACGGCGGCGGCAGCGCUGCUGACCCCGAGGGCAGGGCCAGGGCGCGUGUGGUUGCUAAUGCGUCGGCGGCGCCUGGUCGCGUGGGUGACGGGGUGAGCGUGAGCCGGUGAAGGCCGAAGAUCUCAGUUCGCAGUUUGCCGCAGCACGGCCGCGGCUCCUCCCCGCCCAGCACGGCCGCGGCACAGGCGGCGCAGGCACGAUCGCUCGGCGCCAAGCCCAGGACGAGCCGUACCCCGACGACGGCGGCAGCGCUGCUGACCCCGAGAUGAGGAGGGGAUGGCGACGGAGCCGCUGAGCAGCAGUCGACAGCGCAGCCGCUGAGCGAGAUGGCGGAGGCUCGCACGGAGGCGGAGCAGGAUUUUUCGAGAGGGAGGGGAAGAAGGCUUGGCUGGUCAAAGACGAAUCGGAGGAGAUGUGAGGGCGUGGGGGUGAGAGCGGGAGGUGGCCUUGGGAGUAAAGUGAGAGCACGUUGAAGAGGGACUUUGGAGCGCUGUUGACGUCCCUGUAUUGGCUUUUUAGGGGUAGAGAUAGAGAUUGCGUGUUCUUAUUUAUUCUCUGUUUAUAAUCACUUCGAAGUAGCUUGCAUGGACAUGCUAUAACUUCUACCAAUCAACUCCUACAAAAUUGGCUAGAGAGAACAAUUAUUUCCGUGGCGGACAGGUUCAGUUACAGCCUGUAUAUUUCUUUCAUUUUAAUCUUUCCCUCUGCACUUCACAUAAUAGGAUGCUAUUUCUUUACUGCCAUAGGACAUGGUCGUGGGCACAUCAUGAUUCAUGAAACAUCCUUAGACCAGAGACUAUUGAAUCACUUAUGUAUUUGUAGCGCCUAACCGGUAAUAAAACAUACGAGAUUGGGUUUGGGACAUAUUCCAAGCAUUUGAGAAGAAUUCCCGUAUAGAAUCUGGAUAUGUUGGUCUGAAAGAUGUAAGUUCUCGUCAUACCAACAUAGUUGCCAACUUGUCAACCUUCGAAAUGUUCUAAUAGUUAUUAUUUUUUUAUAAUUUUUUUUGAGUAUUUAGGUGAAUACUGGUACAAAAGACGACAUGAUGCAGAGCUAUCUGUACCUGCUGUUCUCCCCAACAUCGUUUAUCUCGUUCGAUGAGUGGGUCUUCAACACUGAAGCCCACCCACUGAAAAUAGUUACAAGGCAUGACAGUGAAGGUGGCUCAGGCAGUGCAGAAAGUAAGGGUAUUGCUGACUCUGUAAUCCAGCCACAUCCCACAUGGAAGGAAGCAUGGAAAACCUGAGUAGAAGUUGUCCGGUGCAAAGUACAGGGCUUUUGAUUAUGCCAUCUGUGAAAGGAAAUCCAUCUUGAUGGCAGCUUGGAUUGAAAUGGCGAACGUCACACUACCGUAGCAUUAGGCCAGCCCCAUUUGAGUCUUGGGUAUUCCGUUUGGUGAGUCGUCACUUAGCUGUUGCCUCUAACCUAACCGAUGUGGGCCCUCGUCAGUUGCCAUGUAGGCAUAGCAUAGAGAUAGAGGUCGCGCCCGCGCUACAUGUCCCGCGCUGCCAGGAGCUUAGGACACUGGGAACCAGUAGUACCGCCACCACGUCAUGCCUCGUCGGAUAGGGUUAGAGAUUUAUGAAUGUGGAUUAUGGAAUUGUCUCCCACUCAUGCCUCGUUCACUCACAUGAAAAAAAUACUUUUAUUAUACAUGCUGUUAUGUACAUAUUUCGAUUUAUCUUGGAAAAGAGUUUAGAAACAAGAUAGGAUUUUGUGCUAAUAUUUGGUGGUAUGAGUCAAUAUGUAUGUGGUCUGAAGAUAAAUAAUUAGGUUCUCAUUUGCAGCAACAACAAAAUAAAAUAAAUUUCGGUAAUCGAGCUAACAUAGAAUCUGUGUGGAAAAAUGAAUACAAGAAUAGAUUAAAAAGAAUGAGAGAGAAAUUUUAUUUUCUAAAUAUAGAAAUGUUAAUAUAUUUGAUAUACAUAUAUAUAAAUAUACCUAUAUAUACUUAGUGCAUAAAAAAAUUGGGUAUUCAUGAGAAUACCAGGAAUACCCUAUGUAUCCGCCUAUGCGCUACAUCCUGUCGUACAGCCUUACUGUCUCUCAUGUUAGAGCGAGCGUUGCAGCAAAGGAUAGCCUCUGACACACACAACAACCAUCAGGGCAACGAGAGGAAAAGCAGCAAGUUGAAAAAAGAAAGCUGCAAACUGCUGCCAUGGGACCAAACAAAAUACUCCGUAGCUUCUCGUUGCUUGCGUUGUGAGAUUGUUUGUCUUAUCUCUUUCUCGUCUACAUGGAAUACUACUUUUGGUUGAGGCUAACAGCACUAUUCACCUGUGUUGGUCAUGCCCUUAGGCAGGGACGAAGCCAGAAAAAAAGUUAGAAAAGGCUAAAUAAAAGUGCUUCAUCGACUUAGCUCUACUAUAACCCAUCAUAAAAAAAAAUAUAAUAGCUUAAAGUAGUUUUAUAUUGAAAACAUCAAUCAGGGAUGAAACUCAUAAAAUAACUCAUAAAAAAUAAAGGUCUCAGUCCACUAUAACUUAUAUAUUUGUACUUAAAAUUAGAAGAAAAAUACUAGAAACUCCACUGGUCCAGCAGCGGUAGGGGGGCUAGAGCCCCCCUAGCCCCACCGCUGGAUCCGUCGCUGCUCUUAGGGCACACGGCUGGAUGAAACUAGAGGCAGAAUGUGUUGGAUAGGAAUAUUUUUACAAUGGUUGGAGAAGCGAUGAGAACAAUUGAUGUGUCUAUAUCGGUGGGUCCAAAAUAUGAGAAGCGAUGAGAGACGAUGAGAGGCGAUAGAUGUGUCAUAUGCGUCAUGCCGCCAACCCUCGCUUCUCAACGCCUCUGAAAGUGAGGGGAUUAGGACCCCAAAUAGAUGAGCUGUAAUUCCUUUUUUAGUUCUUUUUUAAAAUAAAGGGUAAAAGGGUAAAUGCACAAUUGUAAAAGUAGUAUAGUUAGAUGAAUAACUGAAGUAAUAUAGUUUGAUGAGAUUCUACUAAUAUUUUAUUUCUAAGGCUUUUUUAAAGCUAGAUUCAUAUACGACAAGUAUUGAUAUCAUUUUUAUUUUUAGAUUUUUAAUUUAUUUCUAGAAAUUUAAAAGGAUUUAAGACGUAGUACUGUUGUGGUCUUUGGCUGACAGAACCCAUCUGCGUGCGUGCUGAUACAGGGUGGAUACAAAUCCCAAAUGCGUACGAAGUACCAAAUUCAUAAACGGUUUGAUGUUUUGAAACCAUUUUUACUUUUUAUUCAGAUUUAGAAUUCAAAAUAUAUACCGUAUUCAAAAUGCAGAAUUUAAUUUUCAUAUCCAGAAUUUAAAUUUCAUGUUUCAUAAUCAAAUCAAAUCAAAAUUUAGAAAUAUAUACGUACGUAUUGUAAAAGUGUCUUUGGCCAAUAGGGCCAGCCAAAUGGAGGCAAGCAACAUAAGAUGGAAUUAUAUAGACCAUUGUCUCCGUCUCUCCAAAGAGCCUAUUUCUUUGCAGCCCUGAAAUUAUUUUGGGUAUGGAAUCAUUUGAUAAAUUAUAUUGGGCUGGAAUUGUUUCAGGCCGGGACGCUUAACCGAACAGGUGAGCUGGGACUAAAAUUGAGAAGGCGCUGGGCCCUUGCAGCAUGCAGCAUGCGUUGACUGCUUGCUGCCUGCCAUGUUGAGCAGCCAUCGGGCCAAGUGGACUGCUGGCCCAAGCGUAGGGAGCGGACAGCGGAGGGAGGAGAAAGUAGCCCAAAAUAGGUUUUGUAUUUUUUGUGACAACUUUUGUAAUUUCAAAAUAUUACAACCUCAAAAAGAAUUUUGGGACAGAAAAUGAUUUCAAAUGGAAAAGUCAGAACCAACAAAGUUGUACAAAUCAUCGAGAUCUACAACUUUUAUUUUACUCAUUUUUCCAUGUGACUUUGUUCGAACAAUUCAAAAUUUGAACUUUAAAAUAUGAGAACUUCGAAUAAAUUUUUUGGAUAACAAAUGAUUUCAACUGAAAAAGUCACAAACAAUAAAGUUGCAGAAAUCGUCAAGAUCUACAACUUUGAAUUUGGUCAUUUCUCCAUCCAACAUCAUUUGAACAAAGUGGUAGUACACAUGUUCACAAUUGGAUACGUCUUCAUACUCUUCCCAUAUACUAUAUGAGAGAUAUAUCAAAUCAUGAACAAUGUGUGAUGUCACUUUGUUAAAAUCAUUUGUGUUUUUUUAUCCAACAAUUAUGUAACAAAACCAUGCAAAAAAUUAGAAUUUUUGACCAAAUUUAAAAGUAUUAUAAUUAUUUUAUGUUAAUUUAGGAAUAGAACGAUGAAUUAUUCCUCGCAAAAAUGUAGAAUUUCAAUUGAAAAUGUACUCAUGCAAAAUUGUAGACCCCAUCAAGAUCUACAACUUUGAUUUAGGUCCUUUCUCCAUAUGAGUUUAUUUGAAAAAUUCAAAAAUUUGAAAUUCUAAAUUCAAGAAUUUCAAACAGAACUUUUGAGCACUAAAUGACUUCAAAUGGAAAAGUCAACAACACAAAAGUUAUACAACUCAUCCAGAUCUAUAACUUUUACUUUGGUUAUUUCUCUACUUGAUUUUGUUUGAACAAUUUGAAAUUCGAACAUAAACUUUGAUGCUUUUACCCUGCAUACAGACUGUCGUGAAAAAAAGAAGUAACAGCGCUAAAUAUUGUUUAAUUAGAGAUUGUUCGAGUGGUAAGCUAACUAGGUUUUGGAGCAUGAGCUUGCAGGACCAAAUCCUUAUGCAUCACAUUUUUCACGCCAAUUUUGAUGAUUUUUUUCUCCUGCAUCACAUUUUUUACGCCAAUUUUGAUGGUUUUUUUCUCCUGCAUCACAUUUUCCUGUAACACCCAAAAUUUUACUCUUUAAAAUAGAGAAAUAUGAUUUAAUUAAAUAAUUUUUUGUGAGCAUUAUAAUAUAGGAAAAAUAAUUAAUUUUUUGCGAAAAUAAAAUUUAAUAUAGGUUUAGAAACAUGUUGAUGCAUUCAUGCCGCAGUACUUAUUUUUGUGAUGUGUGAAAUUAUGCAAAAGAAAUUUUGUUCAAAAUUCAAUUUGUAAAUGCUUUUGAAAACAAGUUGGAAAAAAUAAUAAAAAAAAGAAAUCCAUCUCUCUCCCUUCCCCCUCACUUUCGGCCUGCUUGGCCCAAUUCGAGCAGCACGCCAGCACCCUAACUCCCUCUCUCUCUCUCCCACUGACGAGUGGGGCCCACCUGUCGGCUCCUUCUCCCUCCCCCAACCGUUCCCUCCUUCUCUCACGCACAGGAAGCCGCAACCGGCGCCCCGCUCCCACGACGACGCACCCACGCCCACGUCUCUCGGUCUCUCGCGACUUAGAGUUGUUGCCGACCUCGCACCUCUCUCCCCCUCCUCUAUUUCCGCACUCGCAGCCGCAACCAAGCGUCUAGACAGUAAGAAAGACCACCGCUGAAGCACUGCAGACCAGCCGCGCGACGUCCCGGUGAAUCAAGCCGCCUCUGCCUCCUUUCGCUGUGCCGGUGAGC
Molecule: long non-coding RNA, 25469 nt
Filed under: Sorghum bicolor (sorghum)
Lineage: Eukaryota; Viridiplantae; Streptophyta; Magnoliopsida; Poales; Poaceae
Description: long non-coding RNA (SBIC_LNC011794)
Source: RNAcentral